This 71-nucleotide transfer RNA is filed under the name Cromna sinensis. RNAcentral describes it as "tRNA-Val". Lineage: Eukaryota; Metazoa; Arthropoda; Insecta; Hemiptera; Flatidae. The record is from RNAcentral.
CAAGCUUAAUUUAUAUUGGUGUAAAAUUUUAUUUACAAUAAAUCUUUGUUGUUCGAUUCAACUUUGCUUGA